This 13449-nucleotide long non-coding RNA is filed under the name Paramuricea clavata. Lineage: Eukaryota; Metazoa; Cnidaria; Anthozoa; Malacalcyonacea; Plexauridae. The record is from RNAcentral.
GUCAUGCAUGACGUUGAGUCGUAUCAGAUUGCAUAGUUAGUUACUCAAAGACAAGGACGGUUUAGUUAUACAAUCUAUCCAUACCGGUACAUAUAAUGUUUGUUGUAUAUAUUUUGCAAGAAAUUGUGGUGAGGGAAGACAACUAGUAAGUAUGUAGCCUAUAAUACAUUCACUAAUGUACUGCGGUUUAUAUGUUUAUUAUAAAAUUGCAACCAUGAUGUUAAUGCUUACGAUCGCUUAUUAUAUAUAUUACUGGAUAAAGUCAACUACCACCCAAAUGAAACAAAUCUUCGACUGAGUUAAUUUGUGCAGUUCAUGGCUAUAUGUUGACGGAAAGACAAAGUCACAUCGAGUAUAAAAUAUAAGUUAAUAAGUAUAAAAUGUCGAUGUUCGUGCAGUUACGAGUAUUAAACCGGCCCGGAUGUGUGACUGCUCACAUAUACAGUCAAUAAUUUAAGCUCGUAUAGGUUCUUUAACACUCCCCAUUUGGCUUAGAUAGGAAAAUAUCUGUAUGUCGUGCGCCGUAGACCCCUCGCUUUGUCCACGUUCUGUUCUGGCAUGCAAUUGAACAUUUUCUAAAGCUCCAGAACAUAUUCUUUAAGUUUUGACUCGUGUACAGCCGGAAUUUGCCUGCCAGGAAAAUGUAAAUAGGUAUCUUUUAUACACAGUAUCUUUUAUACAAUGUCCCAAAGGCAAAGUGUAAAAUAUCAAUAAAAUAAGACGAACUAGCAAACGUUUAGUCAACAUACAGUAGCUAUCACAACAGCAAUAACAUGUUCAGUGCUAAAAUCUUAGUUUAGCAAUUAACUGGUUUGAAUGUAGUGAUAUCAAGUUGUCUGAUACGGCAUUAACUCAUGCGGGUCAUGACUGACAAUAACAAUAAUAGCGAUUAUUUCAUGAUUGACUCGGUUUUCUUUGAUGUACCGCGGGCUGUAUAUAGCAUAAUGCCCUUGAAUACCAUACAGCCCUAAUUAGUCAAGAAAUAAGCGAGAAAACUAGAAAAAUACUUGUCGAAAUCGAAAAAAAAGAAUAAAACUUUGUUAGAAAACCUCUUCAAUCAUGAAAUAAGUCAGUUAAUUACCUCGAAUGUCGGGCUUUAUGCUAUAUAAAGCCCUCGAACGCUUCGCGUUCUCGGGGCUGUAUAUAGCAUAAAGCCCUCCUUCUCGGUAAUUAACUCUUACUUAGCGGUUGUAAAAAAUUUACCUGUUCUGGCCGGUUAUUGUGUACAUUGUACAGGGAUGUUUGAUUUACAUGCAAGUUGAAUCUAAACCAACCUCGCAAGCCAGGGCCUUUACCUCCGCAGUCCGCACGGUGCUUUUAAUUAAACCGGCUUCAAGUGUUGUUUCGGCUAUUAGUGCAUGAGACUGUUUAAUCAAGCACUUACAACGAAUUGUGAUAUUUUUUGUGACCAUGUUUCAAUACUAUAGAGAGUGUUUCUGUUUCAUCGUUUAGCCAUUUGUAAUUUUAGAUUUAAAGUUUGUUCGUUCACUGCAACCAGGUCGCCUAUGUCAUAAUAUCAAUCAUGUUUCGCUCGCUACUCUGGUUUAUCAGAUUACAAAGCCCAGUCGAAUUGUAAUCAAGACCCAACGUUUCGACCCUCCAGUCUAGUUUCUUCAUCAGGGGUGAUCUAAAGUUGCAAUCGUGGCUUCUUUACGGUGGCCGAUAAGGGCCACCUCUGCUGCAUGGAAACGCGACUGUGCUGCAUGGAAACGCGACUGUGCUGCAUGGAAGCACGAUUGUGCUGCAAGGAAACGCGACUGUGCUGCAAGGAAAUGCGACUGUGCUGCAUGGAAACACGACUGUGCUGCAUGAAAACACGAUUGUGCUGCAUGGAAACACGAUUGUGCUGCAUGGAAACACGACUGUGCUGCAUGAAAACACGAUUGUGCUGCAUGGAAACACGACUGUGCUGCAAGGAAAUGCGAUUGUGCUGCAUGGAAACACGUCUGUGCUGCAUGGAAACACGACUGUGCUGCAAGGAAAUGCGAUUGUGCUGCACAGAAAUGCACCUAGGCCUGUGCUGCAUGGAAAUUGACGAUCAACCUCGUGCACGAGUUGGGACCUUUAAACACGGGGACCCCUGGGUACGAAGUUGAUUGACGAUGUCAGUACAAACACAGGUGGCCCAAUAUCGCAAGCGUCAGUAUAGUAAUGUGUAUUAUAGCAAAAUUAUGUCAUAAAUAUAAAUUUUAAAAUGAAAUUGACUUGCCUAUUUGAUAGUGUGUGUUCUCCUUUUAUUUCUCUUUUGUUAGACUAAUAUUUUUCGAGACUUUGCACUCGAUGGACGAUGGUACUAAUAUACAUACUAUAUGAUAAAGGCAAACUACUUACAAUCCAUCGUCGGCUUAUGCAAUAUUUUAAUUUUGGGAUAGGUAAUAGGACCUCUACAUGCGUCUUGGACCUGUGGUGUACUUAAAAUCAUUAUUUAUCUAAUGGAUUACUGUUAUUUUCAACGGGGUCUUGAAAGUAGACCAUGCCGUGAAACAUUGUAUAAAAGGUGCACGCGUUGUUUUGUGUCUCUUUUUGUUAUUCCAUUGUAGAAAUAUCGUGAUUGAAGUUAGCAUGUGCUGUAUGUAAAGUUAUUACUUGGUAAUUGAUAGGUGUAAUUUGACGAUGCACAUGAAUUUAUCGAUAUCACAGGGUCGGAUUUGACCAUACUGCGAUGUUGUAAAUUAGGAAUUGGUAACAAGACUUGUGAUUUUGCGCUGUGUAAUUUUCCUGUAUCUCAUUUGAGUAAAUGGUUUUCUUAAAAAUAUCUUCACAGGGUCUGGAAAGUAGACCAUGCAGUGAGAUAUUGUAAGCUUAAUCCUUGUUGUUAACUGUGUAUUCCAUAAUCUGUCCGUCACAUGUGGUUAAGUCUAUGUGAGGAUUGUAGGUUUAUCCCUUAGUAUUGAAGUAUGGAUGCAGUUAGAUUAUGUACAUACUCACAGGGUCUUGAAAGCAAACCAUGGCGUGAGAUAUGCAUGUCAUGAGUCCUAUGGUUUGUGUCAUGUAUGUAACUAUUGAUAGGUAGAAUAAGUAGUUGUUGUACAAUCUACAAAAAUGCGGUUUAUAGAAUCUGGCAGAACAUUUAAUUAUGCCACAAGGGUAAACUUUAUUUAAAAUUGGUGUCUUAGACUAAUCAUCCCAGAUGUUUUGUAAAAUGGCGCCCAGAUAAUUACGAUAAUUAUUAAUUACGAUAUUUCUACAAUGGAUUCACAUAUAAGGAUAUGCAACGCACUGUUAUACACGUGCACCUCUUAUACGGGGUCUCACGGCAUGGUCUACUUUCAAGGCCCCGUUGAAAAUAUAAGAAAUCCAUUGGGUAUAUGUGUGUAUAUGUAUGUAUAUGUGUAUAUGUGUAUAUGUGUAUGUAUGUAUAUGUGUGUAUAUGUGUACAUAUACACACAUAUAGAGGUCUUAUUACCUAUUCCAAAAUUAAAAUAUUGCAAGCCCUAUUACCAAUUCCAAAUUUGCAAUAUCGCAGUAUGGUCAAAUCCGGCCCUGUGAUAAAUUCAUGUGCAUCAUCAAAUCACACCUAUCAAUUAUUAUUAUUAUUAAAUUAUUACCAAGUAAUAACUUUACAUACAAUACACGCUAACUUCAAUUACGAUAUUUCUACAAUGGAUUUACAUAAAAAUACACAAAACAACGCACGCAUUACACGCGUGCACCUUUUACACAAUAUUUCACGGGAUGGUCUAUUUGAAGACCCCGUUGAAAAUAUAAGAAAUCCAUUGGAUGAAUAAUGAUUAUAAAAUAUAAGUAAACCACAGGUCCGAGACGCAUGUAGAGGUCCUAUCACCUAUCCCAAAAUUCAAAUAUUGCGAAUUUUUUUGGAGAAUAAAGCGAUUUGAGUGGGAGAAUUUUAGAUUCGAAGUGCCGUGCAGAUGGAUCGAUGAUUGUAAGUAGUUUGCCUAAAGUAUCAUAUAGUAUGUAUAUUAGUGUCAUCGUCCAUCGAGUGCAAAGUCUCGAAAAAUAUUAGUCUAACAAAAGAGAAAUAAAAGAAGAACACACACUAUCAAAUAGGCAAGUCAAUUUCAUUUUAAAAUUUAUAUUUUAUCACAUAAUUUUACUAUAAUACACAUUACUAUACUGACGCUUGCGAUAUUGGGCCACCCGUGUUUGUACUGACAUCGUCAAUCAACUUCGUACCCAGGGGUCCCCGUGUUUAAAGGUCCCAACUCGUGCACCAGAACCUUUAAACACGGGGACCCUUGGUACGAGGUUGAUCGUCAAUUUCCAUGCAGCACAGGUGCAUUUCUGUGCAGCACAAUCGCAUUUCCUGCAGCACAGUCGUGUUUCCAUGCAGCACAGUCGUGUUUCCAUGCAGCACAGUCGUGUUUCCAUGCAGCACAGUCGUGUUUCCAUGCAGCACAGUCUGCAGCACAGUCGUGUUUCCAUGCAGCACAAUCGUGUUUCCAUGCAGCACAAUCGUGUUUUCAUGCAGCACAGUCGUGUUUCCAUGCAGCACAGUCGCAUUUCCUUGCAGCACAGUCGCGUUUCCUUGCAGCACAAUCGUGUUUUCAUGCAGCACAGUCGCAUUUCCUUGCAGCACAGUCGCGUUUCCAUGCAGCAGAGGUGGCCCUUAUCGGCCACCGUACUUCUUAAAUACCCAAGGAAUGAUGUCACCUGUCCAUGAGAUGCAUGUAUAUUCCUCUGGAAAAUAUAUAGGCACCGUCAUCCCUAUUCAAUUAACACGCUUCUAGGCAUAUAGUCUUUGACCAUAGCAAUUCUUUCUGGUAAAUUACUUUAGAGUUUUCCCACGCAAUCUCGUGUUUGGUGUCACACACAUUAUUAUUAUUAUUAUUAUUAUUAUUAUACAAUUUAUUUAAGCACGGUAAAAUCUACUGUAGUUACAAGAAAGACAAUAAACUAAUACUAAUACUGGUUUACAAGAUUGCCGUGUGGGGGCUCGUUUAUUCGUCGAAAUACUUAUUAACAGCUUUUUUAAAUUUAGCCAGCUGUGUUUGAAGCUUUCUUAUUUCUUGAGGAAGGCUAUUCCACAAUAGUGCACCACCAUAACAAAAGCUUCGUUUUAAGUAAUUUGUUCGUGGCUUAGGCAAAUUCAGUCUCAUUUCAGAAUUUCUUAGGUUAUACCCAGUUCCGCGAAUGGAAAAGAAUUCUUGUAAAUAACUGGGAACAUUACUCUUGAGUGUUUUAAACAUAAGACCAAGUUUAAGUUUUUGUCGUCUUAAUGACAAGUUAUCCCACAGGUUAUCCCAACGAAAACUAUCUAAUAAUACACUUGCGUCGGUAUCAUAACUUGAUCUCAUGAUGACUCUCGCUGUUCGGUUUUGCAAUUUUUGUAAUUUAGUACUGAUCCCAUCCAUACCGUGCAGCAAUAGUCGAAAUGAGGCUGAAUGACAUGAAUAUAUGAAUAUGAAUAUAUGAAUAUGAGCCCCCCCCCCCCACCAAUUUUCGAUCUUCUUACGGCCCUGUUUUCCCUUGUCUAAAGUUGAAACAGCCUUUUGAUGUUCUUUUAGUCGUGUACCAAACUGGCAUUUAGACUGACCCAAAUACUCUUUCUCGCAGUCACCGCAUGGUAUAGAAUAUACAGCAUGAGUUUUCUGAUUUGUUUUAAUUUGGCUUUGCGAAAAUAUGGCCUAAAGUCAAAUGGGGUUUUUAGACAACCUUAACAUUACAAGUACUUAAGAUUCUCUUGAUUGGUUCUGUGACACCUCGAAUGUAUGGAAUUAUUGCAUAACCCUUAGUAGAGGUAUCACCCUCUUAGUUAUUUUGGUUCCUACAAACAGGUGAUCUCAGACAAUCAUUAAGAAACCGUUUUGGGUAAUCGUUUUCCCCUAAAACAUUUAGAACAUAUUCACGUUCAUUGGCUUGAGAAUCACUGUUUGACGGCAAGGAUUCAGCUCUUUGAAGCAAAGUUUUUGCUACGGAUCUUUUAUGGUUUACUGGGUGAUGAGAGUCGUAUGACAAAUAUUUGUCUCUGUGUGUGGGUUUGCGAUAAACAUCAGUCUCUAACUUCCCUUCGACAGUUCUGUGCACAUUCAACUGUUGAUAAUAACAGCCCUCAAACACAAUGUAUGUAGUAUUGAGACAAAAAGACAGAAGAUCAAUUUAUAAUAUCUUCUGCAGGCAAGGAUGUUCUUUGUAACAAAGUGGCAUCCUUUCUUACUAGUAGCGUACGGCGUUAUGGCGUACUAGUGUGUUUUAUUGUCGCUUUUGUCUUCAAGAGUUCGGAUCAUGAUCACGUCUUCAUUGUCGUUGACGUUGGCGUUGUAUUUGCCAAGCUCGAUAUUAACUGUACUGAAAAGACAGAUUCCAUAUUUGUUUACGUUUUAUAUAUAGCCAAUUCAGAAAAGGUUAAAUCCAAUGAGCUAUUAUAAUAUUACUGGAGGAAGUGCUCGACAUAAAAAGUGUCCGCAAAAACAUGUCGGAUUUUCGCGCCAUAUGACGCCAUUUCCAUGACAACUGGUUCCUCCGACUCAUGGAAUUACCGCUGAACAGGCUCAAUUCUGAGCCCGCUACAAUUUUCACCCCCCCUCCCCCCACUGGUUUUAUCAAAAAUAUUUUUGCUUUUCGGAAUUUUUGCAGUAAAGUCUCGUUUUUAGUGUGAAGUUUCUUCGAAACUUCACAGUAUUGUGAUGACUGGGAGGAAAUUCAAACUUAUCAGUCAGUCAGUCAGUCAUUCAGUCAGUCAGCCAGUCAUUCAGUCAGUCAGUCAGUCAUACAGUAAACUUUCCGGGGGGUGUAUACGAUUUAUGUUCGUAGUGAUUUAUUGUGCUUUGUCAGUACUUUGAAGGUUAUUUAAGCAAUUUCAGUUAACUUAUUUACAUAUUCUGUUAUCCUUUUGCCAAGUUCACAAAAAUUUCGAGGAAUCGCUUUUGUUAUUGUAUUUUUUUGUAAAUUUUAGAACAUUCGCUUCUCAUGUUGUGUAAAGGAUCUUUACCCCGGAACACCCGAUUUUUUUUAGUAGCGCAAAUGCGCAUGCGCUAUCAAGCCGUAGAUCACGAUGGCGUGACGAUAUGCUAGGAAGGAGUGACAGUGUUGUUUUCAGAUGUAUAAACAUUUCAGACGUGAAUAUUGAGUAAAUUUUUGAAAAUCUACGCAAUAUAUAAAUUGAUCUUAUGCAUUACGGGCGUUGAAUUAAGUGUCGAUAAUAUUUAGACGGUAUAUUCAUUAUACAGAGCUAGGAAGGAGCUAGACCGCCUAGACAGUGCAGUCAACACUCAAGUGUAUAAACAUUUCAGACGUAUUAAAUAUUGAGUCGAAAAUCUUUGAGAUUCUAGGCAUUCAAUUGAGUGCUGAUAUUAUUUUCACGGUAUACUCAUUAUACGGAGGUACAGUACGUACGAAGAAGCGAGACAGUGUUGUUUUCAAGUAUAUAAACAUUUCAGACAUGAAUAUUGAGAAAAUCUUUGAGAUUCUACGCAAUAAUAUAAUAUAUAAAUUGAUGUUAUAAUUACCGGCAUUCAAUUAAGUGCCAAUCGAUAUUAUUUAGACUGUGUAUUCAUUAUACAUUGUCAUUGACUGUAUAAGGUGCUACAUCACAGAACUCAGUACAAAGAGCGAAAAAUUUCAUCAGAUCUGCAUCAGAUCAAUAAAGCGUAAACAACUAUUAAACAGAAGCGGGUGUUUGUACAGGCGUUUACGAAGAAAAUAUUGCGAGACGAAAGAAAUCAGUUGAGUCAGAGCUCCUUAUUUAAAUAAGAAAGACGAGGAGAUAGCCAAUGUGUUAUCGCCAACGUGUUAUCGCCAAUCGCUUGGCUCGCCAACAAGAUUUAUGCAAUGGAAGAAAAAAGCAAGGAGGUACAUGUAGCCAACAUGUACUGUCACGGACCUUGUUUACUGUCUAGCACAACGCCGUUGUCAACGGUGCAAACUUCGUGUUCAGUGCAACGAUAACUCUACCAGAUCUUACGAGAAUCAAUCUGUAGUAUUCUGUACACAGAACUGUAUCAAAGCUUGUCAAAACUGCUUUAAACACUGCUUAACUGUGAAACUAUUGAAAUUUAAAGUGACAUUAUUCAACACAUGCGAAAAGCUGAAAAUAGACGUUACACCGGGAAAAGUCAAAGGUCAAUGAGACUUGUUAUUGUAAAACAUGUCACAAUUAGGUUAAAAUGCGGAAGCGGAUGGAGCGGAUCCACGGAACGGAUAUGCGGAUAAAAUAUGGAACGGAUGAAGAUAAAGUGCUUCCUUUCAAUGAUAUAACGACGUAGUGCUUAUUAUUCAUAACAUAUUGUAUACAGCUAUUUCAAUUAUAGUUUUAGAUAAGUUUAGCAUAGCAGUAGCCUCGUGGGGAUGCUUUUAGCGACAGCUGCAAAUACAAAUGCAAAUGAAAAUUUAGAAUAUGCAAAAUUUGGUUUUUGGUGAAACAAUUGAAUUUUAGCAUGCGUGCAGCAUCACAAUAAAUAGAUAAAUUGUGUCAGUUUCACAAGGCACGUUUCUGAUGUGUCGGGCUUGUUUCAAACGUCGUGCGCCGAGCGCAUGAGAUGAAAUGCCUUUGGUAAUUGUUUAUUUCGUAGUGUAAGCAAUCAGCUUUUCUAGGUUGUCGGCGAACCUAUAUAGUUCUUGCAGUGUCUUUUUCAAUUUGAAACUUCACACUAUCCUUGGAUCCCUAGUUACUUUAAAGUGCCUAUAUCAGGGUUUUGGAGUUUGCAUAUCUCGAAAGUUUAGGGUAUUUUAAGACACUUUGCAAUAUAUUUUGUUAUUGAAAAAUUUCAUCUUGAUGGAUUUAUUAGCUCUUAAAGUUACCGGACAUGACGUCAAAAGGAGAAUUGCAAAUCAGUUUUCCUUUGUUUCAUUGCAACAAAAUUCUCCUUUUGACGUCAUGUCCGGUAACUUUAAGAGCUAAUAAAUCCAUCAAGAUGAAAUUUUUCAAUAACAAAAUAUAUUGCAAAGUGUCUUAAAAUACCCUAAACUUUCGAGAUAUGCAAACUCCAAAACCCUGAUAUAGGCACUUUAAUUUUUUCGACUUUUCACCAUUUAUUCAAAGAUUUAAAAAGUCGUACACGCUAUUCUCACCCGCGAAAGACAACAAACCGAUAUGAAAACCCCGAGAAAUUUAGGCAAAGGCUAUAUUUGAUGGCGGAGCUCACAGGUAAAUAUUUCACAUACUAUUAAUAUGCUUUUAUUUUAAUUUUUAAAAGAUAGAGGGGCUAAAUGAUAGAAUAUAAUCCAUUUAAUAGAUAACAGACUUUUUGUAUUGUAUAACGUAUUAUUUUCCUCCGAGUAGUUAAAGUUUUAUCGUAGAAAAUACAUAAACUUUGUUUAAUUCACUCAUAGACAGCCGAAAAAUGCGUGGUGAACAUUUUUUAUUUUUACCCUCCCGCGUGGCGCUCGGGCGUGCAUCGUUUCUACUUCGUUUAUAUUAAUUUAUGAUAUAAAUCACUCUCAAAAUCGGCCCAACAAAUCGCAGCGUGUAAACGUACCUUUAUAUUAAUUUAUGAAGUAAACUGGAACGAUAACUCCUAUGAUAAAGGCCUAUGUUUGGGUGAAGCCAAAUUUCGGGCGCUCAAGUACAGCCUGUUCGCAGGUAUAUGUAUACGAAAAUAAAUACACAAAAAAUUUUAACGAUAUAUUUUUACUAAUUUAAUCCUUAAUUUUAACUUAUUAAAGUAAUAAAGUACGUUUCUGGAUGUUUGAACUCCAUUAACAACCGUAUCUAAGACUUUUCUACAUAAAUUGUAUAAUUUUGUUCCUGAAGUCUUUCUGGAAAGUUUAAAAACUCAGAAAAACCAUAAAUUUUCGCGCGGUUUUUUGCCGAGUUUCGUUUUGUUUGUUUCAUAUUUUGUUUCAUAUUUUUGCUUAUUUUAUGUGCCUUAGAUAAAAGUUGUGUUGUCUAAGUUUUCUCUAGGAUAAAUAUAAAUGUCUUGAAAAAAGUGGAAAUGAGAUAAUAUUAACGAUUUUUAAGCUGUAUUUUUCGCAUCCAUUUUGUAAAAAAGGACUGAGGCUACCUGCAGAAAACACUCAUAACCGGCUUCAAAGAUGACGGCGAACUUAAUAUAAUAAUAAACGAAGUGAGACUCAAUGCACGCUCGAGCGCCACGCGCGAAGGUAAAAAUGUUCACCACGCAAUUUUGGGCUGCCUAUGAUUCACUAAGUUAAAUCAGUUUCUUACCUCGAAUCAAUAGACUGAAAUCUGACAUGCUUGAUUUUAUGCAAUUGUAUAUAUGGUGCUGAAUAAGUGUAUAUUCAGGUUUAAAGGCAUGAAACAAUGCGCUUCUAUCUAUAUUAUUUUGUAUUUAUAUAUACUAGAGUCUGUGUUUAUUAUAGUAUGCAUAAUCUAGAGGUGCCAGUAGAACGCAGUCUAGGGGUGCCAGAAGCUCAAGAUACUGUGGGCAGCUUAUCUGCAUGGUAAUACGAUUUCUACCUAGAUUUCUGGCUAUAUAAUGACAUGUUGGAUUGAGGAUUAUUGAACCACCAGAAAUAGGAUUGUACUUCUUGAAUGUUGGGUACCAGUCACCAGUGUAUAAGCAAAGUAUGUAGAUUAUAGUCUUUAUAGGGUUGCACUGGAUCUCAUUAUACAGGCCAGAACUGUGAAAGUCACGCAUCCUAGUCAGACAUCAAGUCAGAAACAAUUUAAUUGGUAGAUAAUGUCACUUCUACAGUAGUCUCAGGUGGAUUUAUUUGGGAUUUUGUUCAUUUCAGUCCUCUCUCUCUGUGCAUCCCUGUAUGAUGCAACUACCUGAAACUAAGAAAUCAAUGAACUUCAAUAUUUCAAGUGGAAUUAAAACCUAUGCUAUAGUAUUAUUUUUCAGGUAUAGUUGUAUGAUACAUUGAAGCCUUCAAAUAGUGUGGUGGCUUAAUUAAGUUGCUUUUCUUCUCAUUUCAUUUCUUCACUUCUUAUUCUUUUGUCUCUAGUGAAAACUUUAGUUUACAACAUUUUAAUAAUUAUAUAAUCUCUUUUUCCUCUUUGCAGAAUUAUUUGAUGGUGGGACAAUUCAUAUAGUUACAUAUAUUUUUUGGUUCAACCUCUUUAUUUUUCAAGAAUAACAAUAUAAUUAUAAAUUAUUAGAAAUUAUUAAUUUUGUGAGCAGUGAGCUACAUAAACUAUCCAGACAAGUUAUUAUUAUGACUUUGUAGCCAGAUGGGUAUGAUUUUACUUUGGCUGUUCAGCAUUUUGAUCCAUUUUGAUAUGUCUUGUUGUACCUGUGAAUGAUUUUACCUGCAAAAUGAAUGACAGAAUAUCAGAUUCGAAUGUAACAUUACAUUAAGAUACAUCCUUACACUGCAAUAAUAUAAUUAUGUAAUAGAUGUUCAGUGUGAAGAAUAUGGUCUUUGACACUUUGUAUAUAUUAAACAUGUUAUUGUGCAAUGGAAAUGAUCGAAUAAAGCUAUUUCUGCAACAGCCCUUGCAUUCAAACACCUUAUUUGUAUUUUAUAAUUACUUGUUCAUGCUUGAGCAUCAGCCUCAGAAUAAGCAAAUUCCAUUGGAUUUGUGAGGGCACUUGAACUAUAUUGGGUCAUUACGGAAAAGUUUCAGACUCCCACAGAUGCUACAAAGUUACAGCUGUGACAGUGUAUAGAGGGGAUCAACUAGUAAAAUGUGCUAGAAUAUCUAAAGGGGGGAGGGUGAUACAAAUAAUAAAAAUGAUGUUUAAUAUAGACUUAAAAUUAUUAAGCAAUUGAGUGCACCAGCACUUUCCCCUUGACAAGUAAAAUUAUCUGUCAUUGGACUGAGUAAGAUAACAAAGUAGGGCACAGUGCCCCUUAAUUAAUAACUUAAUUCAAGGUUUAAAUGUUGAAUUUUUUGAAAGUGCCAGAGUGGUAACUGGCAGGGUACUAAAAAGGUAGCCGGGUUGUGCACAUGCAUCUUAAAUAAAUACUGCUACAAAAACCUGGUAGUUAGCAGUUAAAAGUUAAAACCAAUCACCAAUUUCAUUAGUUCAAAGUAAUAUAAAACAAAACAAGUCGGGAAAAGGAUUUCGAACCCAAGAUGAGACAAAAUUAAUAUGAGAAUGAGUUUGAAUAUAAAGAAUAAAAAAGAGGAUAAAUUACAAAACUACUGUGAUAUUGUUGAAACUAGCAAUAUUAUACAUUAUUUUGCUGUCUAUAACGGUAGUUUUUGACAUAAUGUAUUUAUGCUUUGUCAUGGAAAUGGCAACUUAAAUUUGCCAAGCAGCCCAAGCUUUGCAUAGCUAUAGAAGUUAAAAUAAGUAAAAGAAAAAAAACUUUCGUGAAUCUUACCUGAAAACAAGAAAUAUAAUAAUCCUUUCGAGUGAAUUGUUUCAUCUACUAGCAGAGCAAAAACUGAAAACUAACGCACUUUUUCCUCGACUGCAAAAAUAUCAAAAAUUUUAGUCAAAACUCGAAAAUUAUGAUCAAAAUUUGUGCAAAAACCAGGGGGGUGAAGGACUUUUUUCAAGCCUGGGAUCGCGGUUGGCCAGUGGUAAUUGCAAUGAGCCGGAGGAACCAAUUGGCGUCAGCAAACAUGAAAAUCCGCAUGUUUUCCCGGACAUUCGUUUGGUUAAAUCUUAAACUCUAAGCGCGCAAAGCUUAAUGGGAGCACAUGUUUCAAGCUUAUAAGUAGCUGAAUAUUGCAGGUAAUUGUGAAUAAAUUGUUCUCAUAAGGAGAUAUUUACCAUGUCUUUAAGAAAUGGUCCCUGCAUACAUGAUUUCUAAACUGAUUGAAUGAUGCGCCCAUCAUGUUUUGCACGCUUAGAGUUUAAGGUUUGGAAAAGCAUCCUUUUUUGAAUUAUCUGUAUAUACAGGGUGUCUCCAGAAAAAUCCAACUAGAAUUUGACUGAUGCCUCAGCAUUCUGCUGAACCAACAAAUGCAUAAAAGUUUGACGUACUGUAAGUAAAUUUUAUGCAUAAAGAAACUGUUUAAGAAGCUGCUUUAAAUUCCCAAGAGCGGAAAAUCGUGCACUUUACAAAGGUAUUUUAAUUUCCUAAUAAGUCAAUAUUUAAUAUAUGCACCCCGUCAAUAUUUUACGCGUCUUUGCGUUCAGUUUAAUGCUAGGGCAUUCGAAUGCUGACAAUACGUUAUUCAAUAGUUUUGGGUUUGUUUGGGACACCCUGUAUAGGUGGUAUCCAACUAUUCUCAGGGGACUAAAAACUCAAAGAGAAUUUGGCCAUGUUUGAUGAAAUUAGAUUAUUGCAAACAAGGAAUAUCGUAUGUAAAAUUCAUCGAACUUGACGUUGAUUACAUGACUUGCACAUCAAGAAUUACGUAGGUUCGUGCAGUAAAAAAUAUGCUUCGGUUUCGACCAGUUAAUACAGCUUUAUAUGAAUAAUAAUAUUCAUAUACAGUACUGUAACCCUACAGUAGCUAUUUCAUUUUUAGUAUAUGCAUUAACAAAAUUUUCCCUUUUUCAGGUUAAUUAUAUUCCACGCACUCAUGCCAUACACGAGUAAUAUCAAAUUCACAAUAGUUCAUAGGAUGGCAAAUUACAAGGAAAUUUCCCUCGAAGAAUCGCAUAAACUAUUGCCAAUUUUCGAAGUAUCUCCUGAGGAUAAAAUCUCCGAAAUUCCUGAUGAAAGAGAGCGGCCACAUUUACUAUC